UACGGAGGGUGCGAGCGUUGUCCGGAAUCACUGGGCGUAAAGGCGCGUAGGCGGCUGGGGAGGUCGGCGGUGAAAGCCCGGAGCUCAACUCCGGGUCGGCCGUCGAGACUCCUCGGCUCGAGCUCACUAGAGGCAGAUGGAAUUCCGGGUGUAGCGGUGGAAUGCGUAGAGAUCCGGAAGAACACCGGUGGCGAAGGCGGUCUGCUGGGGUGAGGCUGACGCUGAGGCGCGACAGCGUGGGGAGCAAACAGG
Molecule: ribosomal RNA, 252 nt
Filed under: uncultured bacterium
Lineage: Bacteria
Description: partial 16S ribosomal RNA
Rfam family: Bacterial small subunit ribosomal RNA
Source: RNAcentral